RNAcentral lists this unclassified non-coding RNA (449 nucleotides) under Haliotis rufescens (red abalone). RNAcentral's name for it is "uncharacterized LOC125379316, transcript variant X1". Lineage: Eukaryota; Metazoa; Mollusca; Gastropoda; Lepetellida; Haliotidae. The record is from RNAcentral.
GUUUUCGUAGGGAGCCUUCAGUGCAGAUCGAGAGAUAUCUGCAGGCUGUGAUUGGAGGAUUUUCUAUGGUAUUCAGAAAUGCCUAAAAGGAAUGGGUGCUGUCGCCAGGCUAUGCCAAAUGAACAUUUCUUGUCCGACAAGGGGAGGCAUCGCCAGGUAAACAUGGCUUAUGUCACAGUUCACCAUUGGACAGUGAUGAAUAUGGUCAUCGAUGAAGACUGAUGUGAUGGUUAUUGUAGGCCUGGAUGAUUGUUUGAAAAGUUUAGUGUGAACCUAAAGAAAUAAUCCAAAAGCAAAGUUUUUGUAAAGACUUGUACACGAAAAUGUUUGUGAAGAUAUUCUAAAUGAGUUGUUAAGUGUAUUCAAUUUCUGAUAUCUGGGAUUCUGGCGAAAGAAUUACGUACCAUAAAAUGAAACAACUCAGAUUGAAUAAAAUGAUUAUUCUGAAA